RNAcentral lists this ribosomal RNA (1346 nucleotides) under uncultured bacterium. Its description in RNAcentral is "bacterial SSU rRNA". It matches the Rfam family "Bacterial small subunit ribosomal RNA", at positions 28 to 1381 of the family's 1533-position model. The record is from RNAcentral.
GACGAACGCUGGCGGCGUGCUUAACACAUGCAAGUCGAACGGAAAGGCCCUGCUUUUGUGGGGUGCUCGAGUGGCGAACGGGUGAGUAACACGUGAGUAACCUGCCCUUGACUUUGGGAUAACUUCAGGAAACUGGGGCUAAUACCGGAUAGGAGCUCCUGCUGCAUGGUGGGGGUUGGAAAGUUUCGGCGGUUGGGGAUGGACUCGCGGCUUAUCAGCUUGUUGGUGGGGUAGUGGCUUACCAAGGCUUUGACGGGUAGCCGGCCUGAGAGGGUGACCGGCCACAUUGGGACUGAGAUACGGCCCAGACUCCUACGGGGGGCAGCAGUGGGGAAUAUUGCACAAUGGGCGGAAGCCUGAUGCAGCAACGCCGCGUGCGGGAUGACGGCCUUCGGGUUGUAAACCGCUUUCGCCUGUGACGAAGCGUGAGUGACGGUAAUGGGUAAAGAAGCACCGGCUAACUACGUGCCAGCAGCCGCGGUGAUACGUAGGGUGCGAGCGUUGUCCGGAUUUAUUGGGCGUAAAGGGCUCGUAGGUGGUUGAUCGCGUCGGAAGUGUAAUCUUGGGGCUUAACCCUGAGCGUGCUUUCGAUACGGGUUGACUUGAGGAAGGUAGGGGAGAAUGGAAUUCCUGGUGGAGCGGUGGAAUGCGCAGAUAUCAGGAGGAACACCAGUGGCGAAGGCGGUUCUCUGGGCCUUUCCUGACGCUGAGGAGCGAAAGCGUGGGGAGCGAACAGGCUUAGAUACCCUGGUAGUCCACGCUGUAAACGGUGGGUACUAGGUGUGGGGUCCAUUCCACGGGUUCCGUGCCGUAGCUAACGCUUUAAGUACCCCGCCUGGGGAGUACGGCCGCAAGGCUAAAACUCAAAGGAAUUGACGGGGCCCCGCACAAGCGGCGGAGCAUGCGGAUUAAUUCGAUGCAACGCGUAGAACCUUACCUGGGUUUGACAUGGAUCGGGAGCGCUCAGAGAUGGGUGUGCCUCUUUUGGGGUCGGUUCACAGGUGGUGCAUGGCUGUCGUCAGCUCGUGUCGUGAGAUGUUGGGUUAAGUCCCGCAACGAGCGCAACCCUUGUUCACUGUUGCCAGCACGUUAUGGUGGGGACUCAGUGGAGACCGCCGGGGUCAACUCGGAGGAAGGUGGGGAUGGCGUCAAGUCAUCAUGCCCCUUAUGUCCAGGGCUUCACGCAUGCUACAAUGGCUGGUACAGAGAGUGACGAGCCUGUGAGGGUGAGCGAAUCUCGGAAAGCCGGUCUCAGUUCGGAUUGGGGUCUGCAACUCGACCUCAUGAAGUCGGAGUCGCUAGUAAUCGCAGAUCAGCAACGCUGCGGUGAAUACGUUCCCGGGGCU